CUGGGGGGGUCAAAUCCCGUUUCCCGGCCUUUAUUACUCGCAAAAUCCCGGUCGCGGUAGGUAUAAUCCCGGUGAAUACCGUAUUACAACGUUUUGCUAUAUUAUACACAGUAUAUGCAACAAAAUAGCCCAGUUUUUAAUGAAACCGAUGACAAAAAACUCAGGCGAGGAAGGAUAAGGAGCCUUAGAAGCUGCUAUUGAAUUAUCAACCCAAUUCUAUUUCUUAAAGUCUCUAAGCAUCACGGGGUUUGGACGGAUUCAACAAAUCCCCGCGGGUAAGUCGGUCACUCGCUGGUGCUAUAACGGGGCAAGGAGUUAGCCCUUUGCUUCCCGGCGGGCCUAUCACGCUCUACAUGGCUAUGACAUCAUUGGCCCUUUCUGCUAAAGCGUCCGCCAUAUUGGAAAGUGUGAGUCUGCGCGCAAAGCAUCGUGGAACUGACAGCAAGGGAGUAGCCUGGGGACGAGGCUAGCGAGGAGUAUUGCUUGACUCCGACACGAGCGGGCGUCGAGGUCACAGGAGCGAGAACGUGGCGGAACAAGGGUGGCGGUCGGCGGAGGGGACGGGAAAGAAGAAAAAGGAGCGAGAAGACGUCUUUCUUCGUAAAAUGGGGCUUAGGGACCUCACGAACCCGGCAGACUUGCUCUUUUGGGCUCACUAGGAGGCAUAUAAGACUCACAGGUUUACCAGCACAUAUGACGGGAGAGGCAUUGCUGGACUAAAGAGUGAACCAAAUGCAUCGUCAGAAGGUUUGAGGCAUAUUUUCUUUUUUCAAAAUUUUGCUCAAAACUAUACAGGGGGGAAUUGGUUAAUACACAACCCCAUCUACCACAUAUCUUUUAUCUAGACAAUAGAUUUUUUUUCUUGAGUAGAAUAGGAGUUCUUUAAUAAAGAAAACACCAGGAUCCCUGAAAAGGAAAAAAAACUGAUUUAGUUCAGAUAUCAUGAGACUAGGUGUACAGGUUUAGUGUUAUUAUGAGACAAUAUGCAAAGGUUGUGUGAUAUCAUGAGACUAGGCGUACAGGUUUAGUGUUUUUAUGAGACAAUAUGCACAGGUUGUGUGAUAUCAUGAGACUAGGCGUACAGGUUUAGUGUUUUUAUGAGACAAUAUGCACAGGUUGUGUGAUAUCAUGAGACUAGGCGUACAGGUUUAGUGUUUUUAUGAGACAAUAUGCACAGGUUGUGUGAUAUCUUCUGAGACUAGGCGUACAGGUUUAGUGUUAUUAUGAGACAAUAUGCACAGGUUGUGUGAUAUCAUGAGACUAGGCGUACAGGAAAUGUGUUAUUAUGAGACAAUAUGCACAGGUGAUAUCUUGAGACAUACCUGCUGCAACAGAGACAUUGAAGGAGUCCAAAUCAAUCGAUUGGAAACUAUUUUGGGCAUGGUGUGGGUAGAUAGAUAAUAACUGUGUGCAUUGCUGCUGAACUGUAUUUCGCAGGCCCCUUCCUUCAUUUCCUGUGACAACAGAAUGUAUGGUAUAUAAAUAGGAUAUUAUAUGAAACAAAGUAACAAGAAUGAUUACUAGAAGGGCAAGGUCAUCCUAUAUAAUGAUCAGAAAAUAAAAGAUGCAAAGUCUAGAAGCCAGUUUAAAGACUAUAUCCCCAUGAGCAUUUUACAAUGGUAAUGAAUAGAGGUUUCCGCUUCCUUGAAGAUGAAAACAGUUUGGGAACGGGGGAAAUAUUGAGCUGGUUGAAUCAUGACAGUAUUACCUACCUAGCACUAAUACUGUAGGUUUUGAUAGUGAAUACUCAGCACAAUUAACUGGACGAUGGUGAGAGUCAUCUGUGAUUGGUUGAACAGCCCCUAGGACAUCCCAUCCAAUAGCAGCUCUCUCCUAGAAACAAGCAUUUGAAGAAAAAACAAAUGCUGAUUUUUCUAAUAAAAGAUAAUUCUGAGUGAAAAAUAAUUUAGAUUCAUUAUAUAUGCCAUUGAUACUGCAGUACUUUACCUGUAAAAACUUUGGCAGGUCUGGAGUUUGAUAAACAUUGAAGACUUCCAUUGCACCAGCACUGGCUUUACUUACCACAGGUGAAAGAGGAGCACUGCAAAUAAGUAAAAUAAAGGUUAAUAGCAUAUGGUGAAGUUCUUGUAUAGGGUGAAGUUCUUGCAUAGAAUUUCAUGCAAGGCCGAUAACUUUGUUUAUAAUACCUAUCACACCAAACUUUUACUACAUCACUUGCACAUAAUCUCGCUUUCUGAUUGGUUGUUAGCUAUGGUAAAUCAGAGGACACACCACAGACAAACUCAUUAACACUAGAUGAGUUGGCGGGUGGGUGCCCAAUGGUGAUUGCCAUGCUCGGUAACCAUGGCAACAAUGUCACCAUCCCACACUGGGCACCUAUCACACUGAAAAUCAGUGAAAUACUAACUAAGUAACUAUAUACCUAUCUAGAAUGGGAGGGGAGGGAAAAAGCUUCCCAUGUCUUGGCGCCAAACAACGGUUGAUCUAAGGUUUUCCCGCUCUGUACAAAGCUACCCUACGAAGGCAUACAUCUGUACCACAGGCACCGGCGCAGGUCAGGUAUGCAUAACCUCUAGAGCUCUGAGAUGCUGCCCUGUGUUGUGAAUCUAACUUUUGCUUUAAUGUCAGAAUUUAGCCUCAUUUCACAAUCCUUGCAGGAUCCUUAACUUUAAGCAAAAGUGAAGAAAAACCUUGUCAAAGUGUGGGAAAUUUGGUUCUCAACCUUCUCUAGUAAAUGUAUUUUCCAUCCUUACAAAAGGUUACCUCAUGAUCAAAAUUUACAGCAGAAUCAGUGGGUGCUAUGUGGCUCACGACUCCCCAACAUUAUUAUCAUGAAGUGACAAUAGAGUUUCUGUUACAAUAGAAACAAUAGAGUACAUACAAUGGGGAAUUUGUUAAAUAUGAACCCUAAAUGUUUAACCUAAUAUAUGAAAUCAAUGUAUGGAAAAUAGACAGCCCCCUUGGGACAGUAGUGAUUGGUAAUGAAUCUCCACAUAAAAAUAGUUAAUUGAUCAUAAUGCAUAAAAUACUGCAUUAUUCUUGUGUUCUGUUACAAUAUAUUUGCAAACCUAUUUUGUUUUGGUACCACUAUCUUGUCCACUCCUAACAGCCAGCUUGUCCUGAUGAUAGCACCAAAGUUCAUAGGGUCCUGAGCAAAAAAGUGACAUACAGUAGAAAGACACAAAUAUCACUAGGGAGAGAGAGAAGGAAGCUGAAGCUAUGGUUAUCUGUUAGCAAAAGCAGGCACAGCCAGUGCUAAUGAAAAAAAGCCUGCACUUCCUGCAUCCCCAAUCUCCGCGAUGCCCUGGGUGAGUAAGUACGCAGCUGCUUUGUCUCCUAUUAUUUUUGUUCUACAAAGGAGUUCUUUUGUCUCUAUUCUUCUCGUUCUUUGUGUCGAGGUGCGGAUAUUGUUCAUUUUGAGGAUAGUCUAACUCCAGCAUAUUUUCCCUUUCUUUUCUUGCACUUUUCACACCUGGAUUGAUUUCAUUGCAGUUUUCACUAUUGGUCAACUAUUAUAUGAGAUAAAAUCUGAAAGUCUACCUGAAUUUCAUCAAGAGCCAGCACAAGUGGAUGCAAACUGGCAAUACUAAUUCAAAA
Molecule: long non-coding RNA, 3558 nt
Organism: Nematostella vectensis (starlet sea anemone)
Lineage: Eukaryota; Metazoa; Cnidaria; Anthozoa; Actiniaria; Edwardsiidae
Exons: 2
Source: RefSeq, a predicted model, not a curated record